UAGGGAAUCUUCGGCAAUGGACGAAAGUCUGACCGAGCAACGCCGCGUGAGUGAAGAAGGUUUUCGGAUCGUAAAACUCUGUUGUUAGAGAAGAACAAGGACGUUAGUAACUGAACGUCCCCUGACGGUAUCUAACCAGAAAGCCACGGCUAACUACGUGCCAGCAGCCGCGGUAAUACGUAGGUGGCAAGCGUUGUCCGGAUUGAUUGGGCGUAAAGCGAGCGCAGGCGGUUUCUUAAGUAUGAUGUGAAAGCCCCCGGCUCAACCGGGGAGGGUCAUUGGAAACUGGGAGACUUGGGUGCAGAAGAGGAGAGUGGAAUUCCAUGUGUAGCGGUGAAAUGCGUAGAUAUAUGGAGGAACACCAGUGGCGAAGGCGGCUCUCUGGUCUGUAACUGACGCUGAGGCUCGAAAGCGUGGGGAGCAAACAGG
RNAcentral lists this ribosomal RNA (429 nucleotides) under Gemmatimonadota bacterium. RNAcentral's name for it is "Gemmatimonadetes bacterium partial 16S ribosomal RNA". It matches the Rfam family "Bacterial small subunit ribosomal RNA", at positions 355 to 776 of the family's 1533-position model. Lineage: Bacteria; Pseudomonadati; Gemmatimonadota. The record is from RNAcentral.